CUUCCGUAGGGUGAACCUGCGGAAGGAUCAUUACCGAGUGAGGGCCCUCUGGGUCCAACCUCCCACCCGUGUUUAUUUUACCUUGUUGCUUCGGCGGGCCCGCCUUAACUGGCCGCCGGGGGGCUUACGCCCCCGGGCCCGCGCCCGCCGAAGACACCCUCGAACUCUGUCUGAAGAUUGUAGUCUGAGUGAAAAUAUAAAUUAUUUAAAACUUUCAACAACGGAUCUCUUGGUUCCGGCAUCGAUGAAGAACGCAGCGAAAUGCGAUACGUAAUGUGAAUUGCAAAUUCAGUGAAUCAUCGAGUCUUUGAACGCACAUUGCGCCCCCUGGUAUUCCGGGGGGCAUGCCUGUCCGAGCGUCAUUGCUGCCCUCAAGCACGGCUUGUGUGUUGGGCCCCGUCCUCCGAUCCCGGGGGACGGGCCCGAAAGGCAGCGGCGGCACCGCGUCCGGUCCUCGAGCGUAUGGGGCUUUGUCACCCGCUCUGUAGGCCCGGCCGGCGCUUGCCGAUCAACCCAAAUUUUUAUCCAGGUUGACCUCUGAUCAGGAGUAUGGGAUACGGGCUGAACUUAAGCAUAUCAAUAAGCGGAGGAA
This 592-nucleotide ribosomal RNA is filed under the name Penicillium sp. BAB-4692. Its description in RNAcentral is "eukaryotic LSU rRNA". The stretch from base 210 to 362 matches the Rfam family "5.8S ribosomal RNA". Lineage: Eukaryota; Fungi; Ascomycota; Eurotiomycetes; Eurotiales; Aspergillaceae. The record is from RNAcentral.